GGUGGCGUGGCAGAGCGGCCUAAUGCACUCGCCUUGAAAGCGAGAGUCCUUAACGGGACCGCAGGUUCAAAUCCUGUCGCCACCG
RNAcentral lists this transfer RNA (85 nucleotides) under Mycobacterium sp. Its description in RNAcentral is "tRNA-Ser". It matches the Rfam family "tRNA". Rfam says of the family: Transfer RNA (tRNA) molecules are approximately 80 nucleotides in length. The record is from RNAcentral. Lineage: Bacteria; Bacillati; Actinomycetota; Actinomycetes; Mycobacteriales; Mycobacteriaceae.